GUCAAUAUGUCCGAGUGG
RNAcentral lists this non-coding RNA (18 nucleotides) under Arabidopsis thaliana (thale cress). The record is from RNAcentral. Lineage: Eukaryota; Viridiplantae; Streptophyta; Magnoliopsida; Brassicales; Brassicaceae.